Molecule: ribosomal RNA, 230 nt
Filed under: uncultured bacterium
Lineage: Bacteria
Description: partial 16S ribosomal RNA
Rfam family: Bacterial small subunit ribosomal RNA
Source: RNAcentral
AAAGCGUGCGCAGGCGGUUUUGUAAGUCUGAUGUGAAAUCCCCGGGCUCAACCUGGGAAUUGCAUUGGAGACUGCAAGGCCAGAAUCUGGCAGGAGGGGGUAGAAUUCCACGUGUAGCAGUGAAAUGCGUAGAUAUGUGGAGGAACACCGAUGGCGAAGGCAGCCCCCUGGGUCAAGAUUGACGCUCAUGCACGAAAGCGUGGGGAGCAAACAGGAUUAGAUACCCGUGU